Myzus persicae (green peach aphid) is the source of this 689-nucleotide long non-coding RNA. RefSeq lists it as uncharacterized. The record is from RefSeq and is a predicted model, not a curated record. NCBI's taxonomy places the organism in Eukaryota, Metazoa, Arthropoda, Insecta, Hemiptera, Aphididae. The transcript has 2 exons.
UUUUAAUUAAUUUCACAAAUAUUUUUUAAACAUGAAAAUGUGUAAAGAUUCUUCAAACAUUUUAUUAGUGAUAACAAAUAAAAUCAUUAUGCCACAUAUAUUAGGCACCUACUUGUUUAUAAUCGGAGAUUAAAUUUUUAUGAAAUUUUACAUUAUAUUAUGAAUUUAUCUUCAAUCUUCAAUCUUCAUAAAAUUGUUGGUACUUUUUCAUUAUCAAACUAUAUUAAUCUAAGAACCUUGAAACAUUUCACUAUUAGGUACUAAAAUUACUAGAAACGAUGUUACAUUGGGGUAAGUAUUGGCCGUUCUACAGUAUGUGGUUUUGACUUAUAAGUUGAGAGUCUGAUAAUUAUUGUUUCAGUGAUCAUACAUAGUCAGUAUGGAAAAAUUAACAAGAGCCGCACCGCUGCUAGUUUCACAUAUUAUAUUAAUUUAAAAUGAUAUAAUAAUUUUUUUCAGGGUAAAAUUGUUGUUGACAAAUUGUUUGUGAAAUUCAAACAUUUCCGUUUCGCUAAGUAUAAAAUGCAUAAAAAUAAAAUGCAACAUCCUAUAGAAAAAUUAAUUUUCGUACAUAACAUUAGCAGCCAAUUAUACAGAGUGAUAAUUUCUUCAUUGGACACAUAAAUCGAGAUUUUGGUGUGAUGCAAACAUUUUUUUGUUGCUUUAAUAAAAAAAUGUAUUAAUUUGUU